RNAcentral lists this unclassified non-coding RNA (342 nucleotides) under soil metagenome. RNAcentral describes it as "partial contains 5.8S ribosomal RNA, internal transcribed spacer 2, and large subunit ribosomal RNA". The stretch from base 4 to 119 matches the Rfam family "5.8S ribosomal RNA", at positions 39 to 154 of the family's 154-position model. The record is from RNAcentral.
GAUAAGAACGUAGCGAAAUGCGAUAAGUAAUGUGAAUUGCAGAAUUCAGUGAAUCAUCGAAUCUUUGAACGCACAUUGCGCCCGCCAGCAUUCUGGCGGGCAUGCCUGUUCGAGCGUCAUUUCAACCCUCGAGCCCCCCCGGGGGCCUCGGUGUUGGGGGACGGCACACCAGCCGCCCCCGAAAUGCAGUGGCGACCCCGCCGCAGCCUCCCCUGCGUAGUAGCACACACCUCGCACCGGAGCGCGGAGGCGGUCACGCCGUAAAACGCCCAACUUUCUUAGAGUUGACCUCGGAUCAGGUAGGAAUACCCGCUGAACUUAAGCAUAUCAAUAAGCGGAGGA